CGUCAUGUUUUGCCUGACAGCGUUCAGGCCCCUGAACGAGAUGGAGUUGGUGUAGAUACUCUGAUUGCGACGCCAGAGAUCUGAGUUUGAUUCCCGAUAAGCAUCACUUUCAGAAAGGCUACACCUACGCCAUUGACAACGAUGUAAAAACUCACAGGCAGCUGAAAAAUAAGCUAAAUAGUUUCGCAGAAAAAUUUCGUUUAAUGCAAGAAGGUCGUCUACUACAAAUGAAAGAGCCACGAGCAAAAUACAGCCACUCACAUGACGAGCGCCUUCUCACUAGCCAGAAAAACAUUAACAAGAGGCGUCACUAUGCUUUUCUGGAGCCUUGGCUGGGAAAUGGCUUGCUAUUGUCAUCAGGGGGAAAAGUGAAAAAAAGAAAGGCGUUUGAUCAGCCUUUCCCUUUCAGAUUCUUGGUGAUUUCUUUAAUGUCUUUAAUCGGAACGCUGCCAUCUUAAUAGAACAAAUCGUCAAUCAGGUGGUAGACAACAAGGAAA
This 497-nucleotide long non-coding RNA is filed under the name Daphnia magna. RNAcentral describes it as "uncharacterized LOC116927623, transcript variant X6". Lineage: Eukaryota; Metazoa; Arthropoda; Branchiopoda; Diplostraca; Daphniidae. The record is from RNAcentral.